This is a long non-coding RNA of Cucurbita moschata (crookneck pumpkin), 480 nucleotides long. RefSeq lists it as uncharacterized. The record is from RefSeq and is a predicted model, not a curated record. NCBI's taxonomy places the organism in Eukaryota, Viridiplantae, Streptophyta, Magnoliopsida, Cucurbitales, Cucurbitaceae. The transcript is spliced from 2 exons.
UCAGUUUGAGAGAAGAGCAAAACAUUCUUUAUAAGGAGUUCAAAACGAAUACCAAGCAUUGGCAUCAACUAGGAGUAAGCACCCCCAUCAAGUCCAUGAACAGCCAACCUCUAAGCUUGCAGUUAUAUAUCUACAACAUCCUAGCUUAUCAGAGCCAAAACCUUGUGCAUAAAUGUGCAUUACUGUGAAAAUACUUUGCUUAGAUUGUUGAAAGGUGUGUUGAGCUUGUAUUUUAGAGCUUGUGCAGACAGUUCAUAGUAUGUAUAAAGUGAUGAAAGUGUGAAGAUUUAAAGAGAUAAACGCUAAAGCAGAACAAGGAAAAGGAGUUUUUGUUUGGUAGAUCAAUGAGAGACAUCAUAAGUUGGGGUUGUCAGGCCUGCUCCUACUCUGCCUGUCCUCUUCAUUCAUCAUCCCAAUGACUCUCCUUUUCUUAGCUGAGAUGUAAUGACUGAAAAUCAGAGAUGAGUAUCAAUUCUCUCA